CGAACGGGUGAGUAACACGUGAGCAACCUGCCCCAAGCUUUGGGAUAACCCUCGGAAACGGGGGCUAAUACCGAAUAGGACUUCUGGCCGCAUGGCUGGUGGUGGAAAGUUUUUCGGCUUGGGAUGGGCUCGCGGCCUAUCAGCUUGUUGGUGGGGUGAUGGCCUACCAAGGCGACGACGGGUAGCCGGCCUGAGAGGGCGACCGGCCACACUGGGACUGAGACACGGCCCAGACUCCUACGGGAGGCAGCAGUGGGGAAUAUUGCACAAUGGGCGGAAGCCUGAUGCAGCGACGCCGCGUGAGGGAUGACGGCCUUCGGGUUGUAAACCUCUUUCAGCAGGGACGAAGCGAGAGUGACGGUACCUGCAGAAGAAGCACCGGCCAACUACGUGCCAGCAGCCGCGGUAAGACGUAGGGUGCGAGCGUUGUCCGGAUUUAUUGGGCGUAAAGAGCUCGUAGGCGGCUUGUCGCGUCGACCGUGAAAACUUGGGGCUCAACCCCAAGCCUGCGGUCGAUACGGGCAGGCUAGAGUUCGGUAGGGGAGACUGGAAUUCCUGGUGUAGCGGUGAAAUGCGCAGAUAUCAGGAGGAACACCGGUGGCGAAGGCGGGUCUCUGGGCCGAUACUGACGCUGAGGAGCG
Molecule: ribosomal RNA, 641 nt
Filed under: Micromonospora sp. I15A-00841
Lineage: Bacteria; Bacillati; Actinomycetota; Actinomycetes; Micromonosporales; Micromonosporaceae
Description: bacterial SSU rRNA
Rfam family: Bacterial small subunit ribosomal RNA
Source: RNAcentral